RNAcentral lists this long non-coding RNA (1472 nucleotides) under Erythranthe guttata (spotted monkey flower). RNAcentral's name for it is "long non-coding RNA (EGUT_LNC001453)". The record is from RNAcentral. Lineage: Eukaryota; Viridiplantae; Streptophyta; Magnoliopsida; Lamiales; Phrymaceae.
GUUUUUCCAGAAAGAAUAGACAAGGGAUAGGGAUCCUCACCUGAAGUCCAAUGCAAGUGCUAUAAGAACACCUUACUCUCGAGUCAUGCUCAAGUCUUGAAUGAGAGCUUUAGUACGCUCGACACCUAUAAACAUAUUCAUCACUUAACAAGAUUCCAAAUGCUAAUAUAAUCGUUUACUAUCCGCUUCUAUUUUAUCCUAACUUAAAUCUUAUGCCGUAAUUGACAAUCGAACAUAAUACACAAUUUCUACGGCAUUCUAUUUACCAAAUACAACCCACUCCAGGCAUAAAUUCGCAUGGUACGGAGUUAACUCGUGUUUGUUUGACGAGUUCUCGAAACAAAGGUUUAAAACAUUUGUUUCCACAAUUUCUUUGAAAAAUCAUAACAAUUGGUACAAUUAUCCAAAUUGGGAGAGUAAUAUGCCAAAUGAAAGCUAACAGAAAAUACUACGACUUCACAUAAGGCUUUAGUCCCAAAUUCUGAACCAAAAACAGCAGAAACAGCCUCAAACCAGCAUUACAGAACUGCCGGGAUUUUGGAAAGAUUAUUUAUGGUACAGCUUAUUUGAAAAAUCAUAACAAUUUGUAGAGUUAUCCAAAUUGUCCAAAUAAUACACCAAAUGAACCUUACAAUGUAAACUACAAGUUCUCAGAAGACACACAACUCAAAUUAUUAGCUCAACAUAGCAAACACGGCCCCGUAAGAAGAAUACUCAAAACUGCCCUGUUUUAACAGAUUUACAGCCGUCUAAUUCUCAUCUCUAAAAGUCUAUAAACCUUGCUCAAAUUAGAAGCAAUUUAACACUUACUAAUAUUUCUCGCGGUCCUCUACGAGUUUCGUCAAGGAAUGAUUCCCAAAUUCGCACUCCAAACUCUCCAAAUUCUGUUCCGAAAACAGGUGCGGCAGCAGUUCUUCAUUUCUCUGAAUUUUGCCGACAUAACUGUCGGGUUUAAUUCGGUUAUAUAUGAUAGUCGAAAUUUGGGGAAAAGAUGAUAUUGCUAUAUUAUAUAGUCUGUUCUAUAAGUUCCCAAGAGAAAUAAAUCCGAAAUUCGAAGCCUAGGUACCUCAAAUCGGCUCUUAAAACUUCAGCGGCAGGCUGGACUUCUCAUCGAACUCCGGCGACCACCAUGUGAGACAACAGCCGGAAACCACCACCAAAUUGAAGCUUACGUCGAGGGCUUUCCAAUGAUAAAUCCCGACCGCUGAAACUCUGCCGGAAUGAUUGUCAAUUCACCAUCGUUCUCUCCGUCGGUUGAACCAUAGCUCAUCUCUAAUAUUCUUGAUCUCUCUCUCAAACUAUUCCUAUAAUUAAUCACUCAAUUUCUUGGAGUUCUAUGUGAUUUGUGGAUGAUGAUUCUAUCGACGAGAAGGGGUAAUUUAUAGGCAGAAGUGAAGUCGGAAUAUGCUAUUAAUCGGAUGAAGAUGACGAAGACUUUCUCACUUAUCCGCCUAUUUCAUAAACUUGAUUGC